Molecule: ribosomal RNA, 581 nt
Filed under: Sparus aurata (gilthead seabream)
Lineage: Eukaryota; Metazoa; Chordata; Actinopteri; Spariformes; Sparidae
Description: partial 18S ribosomal RNA
Source: RNAcentral
CAUGUUGUGGUAGAUGGACUAACUAGGACGGUCAUCGUAUACGAAACAGAGUUUCUAAUUCGGUACGUUCAGAUUCAUGUGUGCGGGCCAUGUCACUUUGACGCUUACCGAGUAAUUUAGUCAAUACCAAGGAAACUAGCGAGAUGGCAAUGAACCUAUUGACACCAUUAAGAUCUCGAUUAUGUACGGUUGCUCGCGACUGGAGGCCCCUACGCACGUAAAUAGUCUGGGUUUUGGGUACGCCCCGCCGAGAGCCCGGCGGGGCCGGCGAAACCACUGAGAUCUAUUGGAGCUCGGCUAGCGACCGGGGGCACCGCCGCUGCAGAGUAAGCUUACAGACGGGAUAGUUGAAAGCUACCAUGAAAGACACGGAUGGUACCACUGGUGCCCAUUGCCCCUUAGUCCCAAGCUAAGGCCUCUCCCUCGGACUCUUUGCCGAUGGUGUAGGUUCCUUCCGUCGUCCGCGCGUUUAAUGGGUGAGGGCUGAGCCCCUCCAUCACUGCUUUUUAUUGUUAUGUCCUGAGAAAGCUCCGGGACAUUAACCUUACUCAUGUGAAAUUUAGGAAAUUGCUCCUAGUUAA